This 912-nucleotide long non-coding RNA is filed under the name Capra hircus (goat). RNAcentral describes it as "lncRNA (ENSCHIG00010005153.1)". Lineage: Eukaryota; Metazoa; Chordata; Mammalia; Artiodactyla; Bovidae. The record is from RNAcentral.
AGGGGCGCCGAGCCGGCUCCGAGUCGGGCUUCACACCCCGGGAGGGGCGCUAGGACCCAGGCACUCUCCGGCUCCAGGCGUGCCUGGAGAGUGAAGGCAAAGAGGCUCAGGCUCGCGGCCAGAGUCCCUCGGAACGACCGGCCCCUUGGCGCGGGGCAGGAGGCCCGAGUGCGGGGUGCAGCCGCCCUGCGCCCUCUGUGUGGGGCUGCGGUGCGGGCCACGGGCACCGCUCAAGCGCCUGGCGGCUGCCAGCCUCCAGCAUGGACCCUCCGAACGCCGGCCAGCAGGUUUCUUCUGCGGAGGUACGCAUCGGGCCNNNNNNGGCCCAUGAGAUUGACACAGGAUCCUAUCCAGGUACGCCUCUGUUCCCCUUAGGGCUCGGUGUGCAGAGAAGUAGUUAUAGGAGCCCCAUCUGAGGGGCUCGCCUCAACUACAGCAGAUGCCACCCUUACUCUGAGAUGCACACCCAGGCAUCCAAACAUGGGUGUGUGUGUGUGUGUGUGUGUCUGUGUGCAAACACUUGUUUUUAUUAAUGUCAUACUUGACAUAUCAGAUUGGUUUCUUGAAGAAAACACCACCCCAUCUGGAGUAUGAUAUGAUAGGUAAAUUGAUUGCAUGGUGGGUUGUGAGGAACUACAAUGCUUCACCAAAAAAACGAGUCUGUUCUGCAUGCCGCUCCCGCAGCUGGAAAGAGAAGACGCCAUGAGCGGUAAAGGGCAGGCUUUGCCAUGAGCCGCAGCUGGAUGGGAACCCUGAUCUGCCCUUUCCAGCUGUGUGACCUUGGAUGUAUUGCUUCACUUCUCUACCCAGUAAAGAAAUCUGUAAAGUGGAGAUGGUGAUGCCUCCCUCUUAGGAAAUUAUGAGUUUCCGAAGUUCAAUGAAAUAACCAUCAAGUGCUUGGGACACUGCCUG